RNAcentral lists this ribosomal RNA (1368 nucleotides) under uncultured bacterium. Its description in RNAcentral is "bacterial SSU rRNA". It matches the Rfam family "Bacterial small subunit ribosomal RNA", at positions 28 to 1381 of the family's 1533-position model. The record is from RNAcentral.
GACGAACGCUGGCGGCGUGCCUAAUACAUGCAAGUAGAACGCUGAAGAGAGGAGCUUGCUCUUCUUGGAUGAGUUGCGAACGGGUGAGUAACGCGUAGGUAACCUGCCUUGUAGCGGGGGAUAACUAUUGGAAACGAUAGCUAAUACCGCAUAACAAUGGAUGACACAUGUCAUUUAUUUGAAAGGGGCAAUUGCUCCACUACAAGAUGGACCUGCGUUGUAUUAGCUAGUAGGUGAGGUAACGGCUCACCUAGGCGACGAUACAUAGCCGACCUGAGAGGGUGAUCGGCCACACUGGGACUGAGACAUGGCCCAGACUCCUACGGGAGGCAGCAGUAGGGAAUCUUCGGCAAUGGGGGCAACCCUGACCGAGCAACGCCGCGUGAGUGAAGAAGGUUUUCGGAUCGUAAAGCUCUGUUGUAAGUCAAGAACGAGUGUGAGAGUGGAAAGUUCACACUGUGACGGUAGCUUACCAGAAAGGGACGGCUAACUACGUGCCAGCAGCCGCGGUAAUACGUAGGUCCCGAGCGUUGUCCGGAUUUAUUGGGCGUAAAGCGAGCGCAGGCGGUUUGAUAAGUCUGAAGUUAAGGCUGUGGCUCAACCAUAGUUCGCUUUGGAAACUGUCAAACUUGAGUGCAGAUGGGGAGAGUGGAAUUCCAUGUGUAGCGGUGAAAUGCGUAGAUAUAUGGAGGAACACCGGUGGCGAAAGCGGCUCUCUGGUCUGUAACUGACGCUGAGGCUCGAAAGCGUGGGGAGCGAACAGGAUUAGAUACCCUGGUAGUCCACGCCGUAAACGAUGAGUGCUAGGAGUUGGAUCCUUUCCGGGAUUCAGUGCCGCAGCUAACGCAUUAAGCACUCCGCCUGGGGAGUACGACCGCAAGGUUGAAACUCAAAGGAAUUGACGGGGGCCCGCACAAGCGGUGGAGCAUGUGGUUUAAUUCGAAGCAACGCGAAGAACCUUACCAGGUCUUGACAUCCCGAUGCUAUUUCUAGAGAUAGAAAGUUACUUCGGUACAUCGGUGACAGGUGGUGCAUGGUUGUCGUCAGCUCGUGUCGUGAGAUGUUGGGUUAAGUCCCGCAACGAGCGCAACCCCUAUUGUUAGUUGCCAUCAUUCAGUUGGGCACUCUAGCGAGACUGCCGGUAAUAAACCGGAGGAAGGUGGGGAUGACGUCAAAUCAUCAUGCCCCUUAUGACCUGGGCUACACACGUGCUACAAUGGUUGGUACAACGAGUUGCGAGUCGGUGACGGCAAGCUAAUCUCUUAAAGCCAAUCUCAGUUCGGAUUGUAGGCUGCAACUCGCCUACAUGAAGUCGGAAUCGCUAGUAAUCGCGGAUCAGCACGCCGCGGUGAAUACGUUCCCGGGCCU